This 385-nucleotide long non-coding RNA is filed under the name Sorghum bicolor (sorghum). Its description in RNAcentral is "long non-coding RNA (SBIC_LNC001437)". The record is from RNAcentral. Lineage: Eukaryota; Viridiplantae; Streptophyta; Magnoliopsida; Poales; Poaceae.
GGCAAGGGAGGCAAGGGCCUGGGCAAGGGCGGCGCCAAGCGCCACCGGAAGGUGCUGCGCGACAACAUCCAGGGCAUCACGAAGCCGGCGAUCCGGAGGCUGGCGAGGAGGGGCGGCGUGAAGCGCAUCUCCGGGCUGAUCUACGAGGAGACCCGCGGCGUGCUCAAGAUCUUCCUCGAGAACGUCAUCCGCGACGCCGUCACCUACACGGAGCACGCCCGCCGCAAGACCGUCACCGCCAUGGACGUCGUCUACGCGCUCAAGCGCCAGGGCCGCACCCUCUACGGAUUCGGCGGCUGAGCGUGGCUCCGUCCUCGUCCCUCCGCCCACGUGGGGAUAGCUAGGGUUCCUGAUGGAUUAGCUGAGUUUGUGACUUUUGUGUUGU